GGGCUCGUAGGGUAGCCAGGAUAUCCUAAUGGGCUUCGAACACCCAUUGACUCGCGUUCGAAUCGCGGCGGGCCCG
RNAcentral lists this transfer RNA (76 nucleotides) under Methanomethylovorans hollandica DSM 15978. RNAcentral's name for it is "tRNA-Arg". Lineage: Archaea; Methanobacteriati; Methanobacteriota; Methanomicrobia; Methanosarcinales; Methanosarcinaceae. The record is from RNAcentral.